Molecule: ribosomal RNA, 253 nt
Filed under: uncultured bacterium
Lineage: Bacteria
Description: partial 16S ribosomal RNA
Rfam family: Bacterial small subunit ribosomal RNA
Source: RNAcentral
UACGUAGGGGGCAAGCGUUGUCCGGAGUCAUUGGGCGUAAAGCGCGUGUAGGCGGCCAUAUAAGUCCGCUGUGAAAACUCGAGGCUCAACUUCGAGCUGGCGGUGGAAACUUUCUGGCUAGAGUCCGGAAGAGGAGAAUGGAAUUCCUGGUGUAGCGGUGAAAUGCGCAGAUAUCAGGAAGAACACCCGUGGCGAAGGCGGUUCUCUGGGACGGUACUGACGCUGAGACGCGAAAGCGUGGGGAGCGAACAGG